This 253-nucleotide ribosomal RNA is filed under the name uncultured bacterium. Its description in RNAcentral is "partial 16S ribosomal RNA". It matches the Rfam family "Bacterial small subunit ribosomal RNA", at positions 524 to 776 of the family's 1533-position model. The record is from RNAcentral.
UACGGGGGGGGUAAGCGUUGUUCGGAAUUACUGGGCGUAAAGGGCUCGUAGGCGGCCAACUAAGUCAGACGUGAAAUCCCUCAGCUUAACUGGGGAACUGCGUCUGAUACUGGAUGGCUUGGAUUCGGGAGAGGAAUGCGGAAUUCCAGGUGUAGCGGUGAAAUGCGUAGAUAUCAUUUGGAACGCCAAUGGUGAAAACAGGUAACUGGGAGUGUGCUGACGCUGAGACACGAAAGCCAGGGGAGCGAACGGG